GGUAACCUGCCUGUAAGACUGGGAUAACUCCGGGAAACCGGGGCUAAUACCGGAUGGUUGUUUGAACCGCAUGGUUCAAACAUAAAAGGUGGCUUCGGCUACCACUUACAGAUGGACCCGCGGCGCAUUAGCUAGUUGGUGAGGUAACGGCUCACCAAGGCAACGAUGCGUAGCCGACCUGAGAGGGUGAUCGGCCACACUGGGACUGAGACACGGCCCAGACUCCUACGGGAGGCAGCAGUAGGGAAUCUUCCGCAAUGGACGAAAGUCUGACGGAGCAACGCCGCGUGAGUGAUGAAGGUUUUCGGAUCGUAAAGCUCUGUUGUUAGGGAAGAACAAGUACCGUUCGAAUAGGGCGGUACCUUGACGGUACCUAACCAGAAAGCCACGGCUAACUACGUGCCAGCAGCCGCGGUAAUACGUAGGUGGCAAGCGUUGUCCGGAAUUAUUGGGCGUAAAGGGCUCGCAGGCGGUUUCUUAAGUCUGAUGUGAAAGCCCCCGGCUCAACCGGGGAGGGUCAUUGGAAACUGGGGAACUUG
Molecule: ribosomal RNA, 539 nt
Filed under: Bacillus subtilis
Lineage: Bacteria; Bacillati; Bacillota; Bacilli; Caryophanales; Bacillaceae
Description: bacterial SSU rRNA
Rfam family: Bacterial small subunit ribosomal RNA
Source: RNAcentral